GUGAAUCAUCGAAUUUUUGAACGCAAAUUGCACUUUCUGGUAUUCCGGAAAGUAUGCCUGUUUGAGGGUCAGUUAAAUAAAAAUCGGUGUUGUUGCUGUCUUUCGUUGUGACACGUCGGAAUUGGGUUGUCUUAUGUUGGGUUAAGAGACUUAAAAUUUUUGCAUGAUUUUUGAUUGUAUUUAAAUCGUUUACUUACUCUUGAG
RNAcentral lists this unclassified non-coding RNA (204 nucleotides) under Glomeraceae sp. RNAcentral describes it as "partial contains 5.8S ribosomal RNA and internal transcribed spacer 2". The stretch from base 1 to 71 matches the Rfam family "5.8S ribosomal RNA", at positions 84 to 154 of the family's 154-position model. Lineage: Eukaryota; Fungi; Glomeromycota; Glomeromycetes; Glomerales; Glomeraceae. The record is from RNAcentral.